GACGAACGCUGGCGGCGUGCCUAAUACAUGCAAGUAGAACGCACAGUUUAUACCGUAGCUUGCUACACCAUAGACUGUGAGUUGCGAACGGGUGAGUAACGCGUAGGUAACCUGCCUGGUAGCGGGGGAUAACUAUUGGAAACGAUAGCUAAUACCGCAUAAUAUUGAUUAUUGCAUGAUAAUUGAUUGAAAGAUGCUAUUGCAUCACUACCAGAUGGACCUGCGUUGUAUUAGCUAGUAGGUGAGGUAACGGAUCACCUAGGCGACGAUACAUAGCCGACCUGAGAGGGUGAUCGGCCACACUGGGACUGAGACACGGCCCAGACUCCUACGGGAGGCAGCAGUAGGGAAUCUUCGGCAAUGGACGAAAGUCUGACCGAGCAACGCCGCGUGAGUGAAGAAGGUUUUCGGAUCGUAAAGCUCUGUUGUAAGAGAAGAACGGGUGUGAGAGUGGAAAGUUCACACUGUGACGGUAUCUUACCAGAAAGGGACGGCUAACUACGUG
RNAcentral lists this ribosomal RNA (505 nucleotides) under uncultured bacterium. Its description in RNAcentral is "partial 16S ribosomal RNA". It matches the Rfam family "Bacterial small subunit ribosomal RNA", at positions 28 to 507 of the family's 1533-position model. The record is from RNAcentral.